ACGAACGCUGGCGGCGUGCUUAACACAUGCAAGUCGAGCGGUAAGGCCCUUUCGGGGGUACACGAGCGGCGAACGGGUGAGUAACACGUGGGUGACCUGCCCUUAGCUCUGGGAUAAGCCUGGGAAACUGGGUCUAAUACCGGAUAUGACUCCAUGACGCAUGUUGUGGGGUGGAAAGCCUUGUGCGGCUAGGGAUGGGCCCGCGGCCUAUCAGCUUGUUGGUGGGGUGAUGGCCUACCAAGGCGACGACGAGUAGCCGGCCUGAGAGGGCGACCGGCCACACUGGGACUGAGACACGGCCCAGACUCCUACGGGAGGCAGCAGUGGGGAAUCUUGCGCAAUGGGCGAAAGCCUGACGCAGCGACGCCGCGUGAGGGAUGACGGCCUGGUGUAACUCUUACUANCUAGCGAAGACGAAGUAGACGGUAGGGCGAGAAGAAGACGACCGG
RNAcentral lists this ribosomal RNA (449 nucleotides) under uncultured bacterium. RNAcentral describes it as "bacterial SSU rRNA". It matches the Rfam family "Bacterial small subunit ribosomal RNA", at positions 29 to 496 of the family's 1533-position model. The record is from RNAcentral.